RNAcentral lists this ribosomal RNA (390 nucleotides) under uncultured bacterium. RNAcentral describes it as "bacterial SSU rRNA". It matches the Rfam family "Bacterial small subunit ribosomal RNA", at positions 30 to 416 of the family's 1533-position model. The record is from RNAcentral.
AUUGAACGCUGGCGGCAUGCCUUACACAUGCAAGUCGAACGGCAGCACGGGAGCUUGCUCCUGGUGGCGAGUGGCGAACGGGUGAGUAAUACAUCGGAACGUACCCUGAAGUGGGGGAUAACGUAGCGAAAGUUACGCUAAUACCGCAUAUUCUGUGAGCAGGAAAGAGGGGGAUCGCAAGACCUCUUGCUUUAGGAGCGGCCGAUGUCGGAUUAGCUAGUUGGUGAGGUAAAGGCUCACCAAGGCGACGAUCCGUAGCGGGUCUGAGAGGAUGAUCCGCCACACUGGGACUGAGACACGGCCCAGACUCCUACGGGAGGCAGCAGUGGGGGAAUUUUGGGACAAUGGGCGCAAGCCUGAUCCAGCCAUGCCGCGUGAGUGAAGAAGGCC